RNAcentral lists this ribosomal RNA (253 nucleotides) under uncultured bacterium. RNAcentral's name for it is "partial 16S ribosomal RNA". It matches the Rfam family "Bacterial small subunit ribosomal RNA", at positions 524 to 776 of the family's 1533-position model. The record is from RNAcentral.
UACAGAGGGUGCAAGCGUUGUUCGGAUUCACUGGGCGUAAAGGGUGCGUAGGUGGUGGGGUAAGUCUCGUGUGAAAGCUCGCAGCUUAACUGCGAAAAGUCACGGGAUACUAUUCCGCUGGAGGCUUGGAGGGGGGACUGGAAUACUUGGUGUAGCAGUGAAAUGCGUAGAUAUCAAGUGGAACACCUGUGGCGAAGGCGAGUCCCUGGACAAGACCUGACACUGAGGCACGAAAGCCAGGGGAGCAAACGGG